UUUUUACUAACAUCUAGACUUCAAGUGAGUUCACUUAUGAAUGAAUUCUUCUCCCUCAUGUAUAUAUAAUGUUUAAGCUAAGCACACAGGUGACUCACCUGCUAGCUCCCUAAGUUCCAUAAGCAUGUCAAUGUUUUUUUUUCGUUUAAGGCCACAGUCUCUAAAUAGACUUCCAUAUCGUGCCCCAAUCUAACACUUGAACACUUGAAAAAUUUUGGUAGUAAUUAAACCAAGUCGUAUGUCAUUUUAUGUGAACAUUACUAGUACAUGUAAA
Molecule: long non-coding RNA, 274 nt
Filed under: Capsicum annuum
Lineage: Eukaryota; Viridiplantae; Streptophyta; Magnoliopsida; Solanales; Solanaceae
Description: long non-coding RNA (CANN_LNC017223)
Source: RNAcentral